Molecule: long non-coding RNA, 1680 nt
Organism: Dermacentor silvarum
Lineage: Eukaryota; Metazoa; Arthropoda; Arachnida; Ixodida; Ixodidae
Exons: 3
Source: RefSeq, a predicted model, not a curated record
CAUACGCACAGCGAAAAGUACGUGGGACAACAUAUGGUAUUUAGACAUUUACCAACCUGCUGGAGACAAAGAUUAGAAGUGAAGCACAAGUCGGCUCUGUAGCAACUAUACUAAUCUGAAUUGCCUCUCAAGCAGCCUUCAACUUGUCUGCAGUCAACUUUUUUUUUUUUUUUUUUGCUUUGUUUAGUUAAGAUCUGUCUGGACGCUUUCUCCGUUGGCUGCGCAUGAUGUCUUACUUCCUCCAUGUAUUUUCCCCCUUACUAGACGUUACUUCUGCUUCUCGGCCACCGCCAUAAUAGAUAAAAGACACAAAGCGCUCACCAAUUAGCGCUGUCAAGGUCGUGCCGCGCAUAGCACAAGUCAGAACCCACGCUGCGUAUUUAGUUCGUUAGCACGGCUGACCCCUUUCCGGGACGAGGAAAGCGAGGAUAACAUCAGUCUUGUCGUUUCUAUUUUUUUCCUUUUUUAUCAUUUCUCAGGCAUGCGACCGAGGUGGACUGAGCUCGAAAUGACCUGGCGAAGGCCGCCUUGGCAUGCACCCAGCAGCAAAAGAAGCAGAACCUCUGGGCAUCAAGAAAAUCGAGAUGCAGUGAUCGACCUGUACCCUCCCAUGGUGACUAGAUCGCCACCGUCCAUAUACCUCGCGCGCCCAUGUGACGAAGAAUAAAUCUGCGCUGGAAAUUCUCUUAAAAUGCACUGGAGCUCGUCCGUCGAUCUUCCCGCGCACCGUGCGAGCCGGAGAUGCGCUUCGUCCCUGGCACCGAGGCGUCCGCGCUGCCCACAUCGCUGAGAGGCGGUUACUGCAGCAUCAGGCAGCGGACGAAGUCGGCCUUGGCGAGUUUCUGCGGGGUCUGCAAGCCACAAUGCGCUGCUACCGCAUAUGCAUGGCUCCAAUCAGCACGACUCCAAACGCGGAUUUUCCGGUUACAGCGUGGACGCCAAGGCUGUUUCUAACGACGGUGCGUCGGCAGUUGUGAGAAAACUGCCUGAUGCGAGGACUUUGUGUUCGCAGGUUUCGCCGAAAGAAAAAAAAAUGUGCUGAAGUCAUCAUCACAUGAUGACUGUCAAUGUAGACAAAUAGCCGUACGCUUUUAGAAGGCUUCUCGCUUUAUUGAACGAAUGAUGCGCUUGAAGGCAUAUACUUCUUGCAGUGAGAACGUUAGGUAGCGUUUGUUUAGUGAGAACGUUAGGUAGUGAUGAGAGUUCCGGCUAUUCCUUUACAUGCAGAACAAUGUUACGACUGAAUGUAAACCAAGGUUGUGAGUUCGCUUUGUCGCCCUUUGCCUAUCUUCACAACCUCCGCAUGCAAUAGUCCGGGAUAUUUAAGGAAUUUUGACGAAAUAUUUAUUUUGCAGUUGCAAAUGUCAUUAGAUAUAUUUACUGUUGACUAUGAACGUGCGCCGAAAUUCUGUUUCAAAAGAGCACGCGCCAUUUGUUUCAGUGGUGAAAGACCGAUUGCCGACCACCGACCACUGGCCACCGACUAUCGACCAUAAAAACGGGAACGACAGCUAUUCGCUUUAAAAUGACAGGGACUCGGAUAUAACGAGAACAAUACUGCCUCUAACUUCAAUGUAUGGGUUUAUUGGAAACAGGUGACAAAAAUAUACACAAACACUAAUGAGGCUCAUAGGCAGAGGCACCUUGCGCACAAUAAAUUACAUUCACGAAUGACAGCUC